Molecule: ribosomal RNA, 253 nt
Filed under: uncultured bacterium
Lineage: Bacteria
Description: partial 16S ribosomal RNA
Rfam family: Bacterial small subunit ribosomal RNA
Source: RNAcentral
UACAGAGGUCCCGAGCGUUGUUCGGAUUCACUGGGCGUAAAGGGUGCGUAGGCGGUCGGAUAAGUUUGAUGUGAAAUCUCCGGGCUUAACCCGGAAACUGCAUUGAAUACUAUUCGGCUUGGGGUCUGGAGGGGGGACUGGAAUUCUCGGUGUAGCAGUGAAAUGCGUAGAUAUCGAGAGGAACACCAGUGGCGAAGGCGAGUCCCUGGACAGGUCCUGACGCUGAGGCACGAAAGCUAGGGGAGCAAACGGG